RNAcentral lists this transfer RNA (79 nucleotides) under Wolfiporia cocos MD-104 SS10. RNAcentral describes it as "Wolfiporia cocos (strain MD-104) (brown rot fungus) tRNA". It matches the Rfam family "tRNA". From Rfam's summary of the family: Transfer RNA (tRNA) molecules are approximately 80 nucleotides in length. Their secondary structure includes four short double-helical elements and three loops (D, anti-codon, and T loops). Lineage: Eukaryota; Fungi; Basidiomycota; Agaricomycetes; Polyporales; Phaeolaceae. The record is from Rfam by way of RNAcentral.
ACACUGAUGGUGAAACGGUAUCAUGCUUGCCUUCCACUGUUGUGAGCAAGCGGCGUGGGUUCGACUCCCGCUCAGUGUA